Ribosomal RNA from Sinocyclocheilus anshuiensis, 117 nucleotides. NCBI's taxonomy places the organism in Eukaryota, Metazoa, Chordata, Actinopteri, Cypriniformes, Cyprinidae. The record is from Ensembl.
GCCGGCAGCCAUAUCACCAUGUAGCCCAAGACUGGUUGCCCACUGAAGCUAAGCAGGGCUGAGCCUGGUCAGUACCUGGAUGGGAGACCUCCUGGGAAAACUAGGUUGCUGCUGGAA